This 499-nucleotide ribosomal RNA is filed under the name uncultured bacterium. RNAcentral describes it as "partial 16S ribosomal RNA". It matches the Rfam family "Bacterial small subunit ribosomal RNA", at positions 28 to 507 of the family's 1533-position model. The record is from RNAcentral.
GACGAACGCUGGCGGCGUGCCUAAUACAUGCAAGUCGAGCGAAGUUUUUCUGGUGCUUGCACUAGAAAAACUUAGCGGCGAACGUGUGAGUAACACGUAAAGAACCUGCCUCAUAGACUGGGACAACUAUUGGAAACGAUAUCUAAUACCGGAUAACAGUAUUUCUCGCAUGAGAGAUAUUUAAAAGUUGGUUAUGCUAACACUAUGAGAUGGCUUUGCGGUGCAUUAGCUAGUUGGUGGGGUAAAGGCCCACCAAGGCGACGAUGCAUAGCCGACCUGAGAGGGUGAUCGGCCACACUGGGACUGAGACACGGCCCAGACUCCUACGGGAGGCAGCAGUAGGGAAUCUUCCGCAAUGGGCGAAAGCCUGACGGAGCAACGCCGCGUGAGUGAAGAAGGAUUUCGGUUCGUAAAGCUCUGUUGUUAGGGAAGAAUGGAUAUGUAGUAACCAUACAUGUAAGAGACGGUACCUAAUCAGAAAGCCACGGCUAACUACGUG